GUGAAAGAUGGAAAGGAUUUGCUGAAACAAUAACUAGAACACAAAAAAGGGAGGUGUGAGGAGGUCGAUGAAACAAGUUAAUGAAAGACAAAGAUAUGGAAAUAUUGGAUGUGUUUUUAAAUUGUUUUUGCUUUUGCUUUUGUUUUGAUGUAUUGUGUCUUUUGUUUUUUCUUUUUCUUAUGUAUAGUAUUGAUUUGCAUUGUUUAUUUUUUUUCUUUUUUUCCUUCUGUAAUCUUUAAACCUUUAAUAAAUAUUAUUUUUAAAAAAAAAAAGAGAGAGAGACUAGGGCCCUGCGGGACCUGACAUCUUUCCGCAGGGCCUGCAAGACAGAGCUGUUCCACCAGGCCUUUGGUCAGGGCGCAGCCUGACUCCCUCCUCUGGCAAUCUGCACAGAAUUUUGCUUAACGGUUGCCAUCAAUUUGAUUUUAAUUAAUUUUUAUAAUGAAAUGUUUUUAGAAUGUUGGAUUAUUUGAUUGUUGUUAUCCGCCCUGAGCCCGGCUUCGGCUGGGGAGGGCGGGAUAUAAAUAAAAUUUAUUAUUAUUAUUAUUUAUUGUUGUUGUUUUGGAUACUGAAUGCAGCAAUGAGUUGUAGUGAAAGAUUUAGAAUUCCGUGAAAAUCCUGAGAAAUGAAUUUUAUCUAGGCAAGUUAUAUGGUCUUGCUGGGCUCACAUGAACUCUCCCAAUACCACCUGCCCUUCUGAAUAAGGGUCUCUUAAUGAACAUUGCAUUAACUCCAGUCUUUGUCCCUUGUGGCUCAGUGUGGAAAACAAGUGUAUUCUCACUGAGGUGGUAAAUCUGUGUCUAGACUGUGCCGCUUUAGACUGCAAGGAGGUGUGUGUGUGGGUGGCAGUUUGAUGAUGGAACAAUUUUCCAUAUAUAUAGGUUGUCUGAGAGAAAGGUAGGCUUCUUCCAAACAUAUUUUCAAUAUGCAGGGGGAUUUUUGUUUGGCUGUAUGUGUGUGAAUCUCCACCUGCGCUUUGCAUUUGCCACCUGAGUAAGAAUUAGACUCAUGUUUAGCCUUUCUUUCUCAAGUUCCGAUUUGCUCCUGCUAGUUGUUGUUCUUUGCAAUAAUUUCAAUUUUCUCUGAUUUUCUUACAUCUUGUGCUAUUAGAUGCUCUGCUGUUUGGGGCAUACAUCUCCCCCAGGGCUGGUCAUACAGUUGAAGUAUGCCGAAUCUGUUUUGUGGUCUUUUAAUAAGUGACAUUUUCGCUUGCCCAGCAACAGUUCCAUUGAGCUUGGAAAUCCUCCCCCCCCCCAUUUUGGGAACACAGUGUUUAUGUGUAGCUGGAGAGAAAUCUGGACUGAUCUUCUGGAGAGAAACAAGAAAACAAGGCUUGCAAUAUCUAAACAAAAACUUCCAUCAUUGGGAAGGGACUCUGUGUUCCUUAUGAAAGCAUAAACAUUUUGAGGAGCAUGAAAGUUUCUAAAAAAGCAAUGUGGGCAGCUAGGAGCUCUGCAGCUUUAUGUUAACGGUAUCAUUGGUCUGGCAGUGCAAAUACUUCUAGCCUGGAUCACAGAUAGAGCAGACAUAUGGUUGCUGUAUGGAGAAACUCUAAAAUGCAAUACUAGGCAAAUUCUGCUCAAAAAGAAAAGGUGAUUUGACAGAUUAAGCAUAAUCUAACACAGUUUCUGCAUGUCAUUCUGAAUCCAGAAUCCACAAAUGCUGAAUUCCUUAGGUUGAGUUAUGGGGUAAAUAAUUGUUUCCCAAAGGGGGUGAUGCUGCCCCCUGGGGGUGCUGGAACAAUCCGUGGGGCAGUAGUAGCCUUGAGUGCAAUUGGAGGGGCAUUGAAUAAAAACAAGAGGGAGGUGGAAGCAUAAAGAAGAGAAAAGAAGAAAUUUUUGAAAAACUGUGCAUACAUGUUUCAUCUGCUGUGCAAUGACACUUACCAUCAGGUCGGGUGCUGUUGUGAAACAGUGACAAUUCCUCUUCUGGAUCUGGCUGCCGUGCUGGAGGCGAGGGGUUUUCCUGGGCUUGGGUGAACCCUUUCCAGCUUCACCCAGGCCUGGGAAGUGGCCAACUGUAGGCGGGCUGUGGGUCCCUGGGACUAAUCGGACCGAGUCGGAAAGCUUCACUCUGGUCCGCCCCGUGGGUUUUUAAUCCCAGGGCCUAGUAGAUUUCCAGGGGACGCUGAGCAAUUAUUAUUAUUUUCUGAAAAGGGAGCAGUAGGCCAAAUAAGUUUAGGAACCUCUGGGACAAAUGAACAACAUUAAGGGCUCUCAGAUACAAGAGAACAAGACUGAAGGAUGUAAUAGUGGAACAUAUGAGUUAUCAAGACUUGGCACUAAUGGAGAAGUUAAUGCAUGAAGUCAGGGUGGUGAUGUGAAAGACUUGGACUCUGGAGAUUCGGAGUAGAUCAUACUUGGCUGGAUAGACAAAAAUAGGUUGGCCUGGUUAGGCAAAUAGCCUGGCUACUAUAGACUGUGGGCUGGCUGCUGUAGGCAAAUAAACCAGCUCCUAGGCAUGAAAUCUAUGUCCUACCUCCAGUGUCAAAGGCAGUAUACCUCUGAAUAUUAUUUGCUGGGAAUCACGAGUGGAGAGAACUGUCGCACUUAUUUCCAGCCUUUCAUGGUCAUCUGACUGGCCACUGCAAGCGCUGGAUUAGAUGGGCUUUUUGGUCUGGUCCAGGAGGGCUCUUACGUUUUGGUAUAAGGCAGCUUCCUGCGCUUUGACAAAUGUUUUUAAACGAAAGCUCUCACAGGCCAUUCUGCCUUUACAAGAGCUGCCUUUGCCCUCUCUUCCCACACCCUGCUGUAGCUACAGUUCUGCCUAUCCUUACACCCAGAGGUUUGCACUUCUAAGCUGCUGUGUGCGAAAUGUUCCCGUAAGGCCCUGCAGCAUAUGCAGACGCCACAGGCCUGGAGGACAGAGAAGAAUGGGGCGAUAUAACUGCUUCUUUUGAAGUAUAUAACACCAAAGGUCCAAGUGGACUUACAGCCACUCCUUGGCGCUGGAAAUGAGGCAAGGAUGGAGUGCUGUUGUUUCCUCUUGACAGUAAAGGUCACAGGACAUGAAUAGUUGCUUGUUUGCAACACAGCCAGCUAAUGGCUCCUCUAUGCAAAUUGUGUAGAGUCUCUGACAUUUCAAGAGGACCCCCACCUCUUCCUCACUGCUGACCGACAGUUGCCUUUUUAUAGCAUCCCACUUAAAGGUUAAGAUGAUGCCUCAGAGAGCAAAGUGGGAUGCAAUGCACAGUGCACAUCAGGGCAAAUGUGUGUCUGAUGAGGGGCUAUCAUCUUUAUGACAUUUCUUCCCACCCCGCCAGCCUUUCGUUCAUUCACUUGAUAUAUGGUGAGAACGGGGCAAAUAACACUUUUCUCUGUGCACUUUAUUUGCUUUCUUGUAUAUAAAAAGGAAAACUGCCUCUAAAUGUCAGAAUGGAUAGGUAUCUGGAAAGGAGACAUUUGCAUGUUUCUUGCAAGCGUGUGUGUUUUAAUUGUGAUAUCUGCUUUAAAAAAGAAAAAAAGGAGGGAACACUUUGGUGGGGAGGGAGGAGGGCUGCUUGACCACUUCCCUUCCACUGCUUGUUUCCUCCAAAUCACAGACAACUGGUGAUGUUUGUGUUCCUUCUGGAUCUGUUUACAAGGAAGUUAGUAUUCCCUUACUAACCCAGAAGGAAACGGCACAUACUCAGCAAGGUGGGCUCUGAUUGCCUUGAUUCUGCUCCCAAGCAUUUGAACACUGGUGCUCCAAAAGCUCACCCAGUUCCUAAGCACCCUUUCCUUUGUUCUGUGGAGAGGGAAAGGGACAGAGUGGUGUGUAUAACCCUGAUCGAUUCUCUGUUAAACCAUUGGUGAGGGUUCAAAGUGCAUGAGGUUGAGAGGAGCGGGACAAGCAGAACUGCACAUGACAGAGCUUUCUUCACUCCUCUUUUUGAAGUUAGAGAUGGAGAGAGAGUUGCAUAAAGUACUUUGGUGCCUGUUCUGUGUGACUUACCUGGAAUGGGGUAGGGGGGAACCUAAAAAAAGUGAUGGGAAGAGAAUAGAGCUCAUUGUUCUGCUGCUGGGUCAGGAUGCUGUCAGCGGCUCCCGGCUGGUUGCCCAGGAAAGUAUAAAGACAAGGGAAGGUUUCUUACCGUCAUUUUUUAUUUUGUAUUUACAGAGAGAGGCUAUGGAACCCAGCCUUGCCGUGGGCAGGGGAAACAGAGAGGAGGAAAAACCAGGGAAGGGAAGGUUGAUGGGAUCUUUGAUUG
This is a non-coding RNA of Podarcis lilfordi (Lilford's wall lizard), 4189 nucleotides long. Lineage: Eukaryota; Metazoa; Chordata; Lepidosauria; Squamata; Lacertidae. The record is from the annotation of a GenBank genome assembly.